AUUGAACGCUGGCGGCAGGCCUAACACGUGCAGGUCGAGCGGUAGCACAGAGAGCUUGCUCUCGGGUGACGAGUGGCGGACGGGUGAGUAACGUCUGGGAAACUGCCCGAUGGAGGGGGAUAACUACUGGAAACGGUAGCUAAUACCGCAUAACGUCGCAAGACCAAAGUGGGGGACCUUCGGGCCUCACACCAUCGGAUGUGCCCAGAUGGGAUUAGCUAGUAGGUGGGGUAAUGGCUCACCUAGGCGACGAUCCCUAGCUGGUCUGAGAGGAUGACCAGCCACACUGGAACUGAGACACGGUCCAGACUCCUACGGGAGGCAGCAGUGGGGAAUAUUGCACAAUGGGCGCAAGCCUGAUGCAGCCAUGCCGCGUGUAUGAAGAAGGCCUUCGGGUUGUAAAGUACUUUCAGCGGGGAGGAAGGCGGUGAAGUUAAUAACUUCACCGAUUGACGUUACCCGCAGAAGAAGCACCGGCUAACUCCGUGCCAGCCGCCGCGGUAA
This 504-nucleotide ribosomal RNA is filed under the name uncultured bacterium. RNAcentral's name for it is "partial 16S ribosomal RNA". It matches the Rfam family "Bacterial small subunit ribosomal RNA", at positions 29 to 523 of the family's 1533-position model. The record is from RNAcentral.